CGCGGCCUAUCAGCUUGUUGGUGGGGUAAUGGCCUACCAAGGCUUCGACGGGUAGCCGGCCUGAGAGGGUGACCGGCCACACUGGGACUGAGACACGGCCCAGACUCCUACGGGAGGCAGCAGUGGGGAAUAUUGGACAAUGGGCGGAAGCCUGAUCCAGCAACGCCGCGUGAGGGAUGACGGCCUUCGGGUUGUAAACCUCUUUCAGCACAGACGAAGUUGCCCUUUUGGGGUGGUGACGGUAUGUGCAGAAGAAGCACCGGCCAACUACGUGCCAGCAGCCGCGGUAAUACGUAGGGUGCGAGCGUUGUCCGGAAUUAUUGGGCGUAAAGGGCUCGUAGGCGGUCUGUCGCGUCGGGAGUGAAAUCCACUGGCUUAACUGGUGGCUUGCUUUCGAUACGGGCAGACUGGAGGUAUGCAGGGGAGAACGGAAUUCCUGGUGUAGCGGUGAAAUGCGCAGAUAUCAGGAGGAACACCGGUGGCGAAGGCGGUUCUCUGGGCAUGUCCUGACGCUGAGGAGCGAAAGUGUGGGGAGCGAACAGGAUUAGAUACCCUGGUAGUCCACACCGUAAACGUUGGGCGCUAGGUGUGGGAUCCAUUCCACGGGUUCCGUGCCGCAGCUAACGCAUUAAGCGCCCCGCC
Molecule: ribosomal RNA, 642 nt
Filed under: uncultured bacterium
Lineage: Bacteria
Description: bacterial SSU rRNA
Rfam family: Bacterial small subunit ribosomal RNA
Source: RNAcentral